RNAcentral lists this ribosomal RNA (440 nucleotides) under uncultured bacterium. RNAcentral's name for it is "partial 16S ribosomal RNA". It matches the Rfam family "Bacterial small subunit ribosomal RNA", at positions 338 to 795 of the family's 1533-position model. The record is from RNAcentral.
CCUACGGGUGGCAGCAGUGGGGAAUAUUGCACAAUGGGCGAAACCCUGAUGCAGCGACGCCGCGUGAGUGAAGAAGGAAUUCGUUAUGUAAAGCUCUAUCAGCAGGGAAGUAAAUGACGGUACCUGUGUAAGUAUCCCUGGCUAACUACGUUCCAGCAGCCGCGGUAAUAUGUAGGGGGCAAGCGUUAUCCGGAUUUACUGGGUGUAAAGGGAGCGUAGACGGCAGUGCAAGUCUGGAGUGAAAGGCGGGGGCUCAACCCGCGGACUGCUGUGGAAACUGUACGGCUGGAGUGCAGGAGAGGUAAGUGGAAUUCGUAGUGUAGCGGUGAAAUGCGUAGAUAUUAGGAGGAACACCAGUGGCGAAGGCAGCUUACUGGACUGUAACUGACGUUGAGGCUCGAAAGCGUGGGGAGCAAACAGGAUUAGAUACCCUAGUAGUC